Molecule: transfer RNA, 63 nt
Filed under: Neobisnius villosulus
Lineage: Eukaryota; Metazoa; Arthropoda; Insecta; Coleoptera; Staphylinidae
Description: tRNA-Glu
Source: RNAcentral
AUUUAUAUAGUUUAAAAAAAACCUUACAUUUUCACUGUAAAAACAAACUUUGUUUUAUAAAUA